AAGGCCUUAAGUUAAAUAAACUAAUAUCCUUCAAAGCUAUAAAUAAAGGAACUACCUUUAGGCCUUG
Molecule: transfer RNA, 67 nt
Filed under: Macrotermes sp. B TB-2017
Lineage: Eukaryota; Metazoa; Arthropoda; Insecta; Blattodea; Termitidae
Description: tRNA-Trp
Source: RNAcentral